Molecule: small nucleolar RNA, 82 nt
Organism: Smittium culicis
Lineage: Eukaryota; Fungi; Kickxellomycota; Harpellomycetes; Harpellales; Legeriomycetaceae
Source: Rfam
GAGAGAUGAUUUAUUUAGAUGACGAGUCUGAAUACAGCAUGUAGAGACUCAAUAAUAAAAAUCCAUUCAUGCCUAUCUGACU